This 467-nucleotide ribosomal RNA is filed under the name uncultured bacterium. RNAcentral's name for it is "partial 16S ribosomal RNA". It matches the Rfam family "Bacterial small subunit ribosomal RNA", at positions 27 to 507 of the family's 1533-position model. The record is from RNAcentral.
GGAUGAACGCUGGCGGCGUGCUUAACACAUGCAAGUCGAACGAUGAAGCCCAGCUUGCUGGGUGGAUUAGUGGCGAACGGGUGAGUAACACGUGAGUAACCUGCCCUUAACUCUGGGAUAAGCCUGGGAAACUGGGUCUAAUACCGGAUAGGAGCGCCUACCGCAUGGUGGGUGUUGGAAAGAUUUAUCGGUUUUGGAUGGACUCGCGGCCUAUCAGCUUGUUGGUGAGGUAAUGGCUCACCAAGGCGACGACGGGUAGCCGGCCUGAGAGGGUGACCGGCCACACUGGGACUGAGACACGGCCCAGACUCCUACGGGAGGCAGCAGUGGGGAAUAUUGCACAAUGGGCGAAAGCCUGAUGCAGCGACGCCGCGUGAGGGAUGACGGCCUUCGGGUUGUAAACCUCUUUCAGUAGGGAAGAAGCGAAAGUGACGGUACCUGCAGAAGAAGCACCGGCUAACUACGUG